Anguilla anguilla (European eel) is the source of this 2733-nucleotide long non-coding RNA. RefSeq lists it as uncharacterized. The record is from RefSeq and is a predicted model, not a curated record. Lineage: Eukaryota; Metazoa; Chordata; Actinopteri; Anguilliformes; Anguillidae. The transcript is spliced from 8 exons.
GCUCAAGGUAACAUGCUACCUGUUGCCAAGGAAACCAAGCGUCUGGAGCCCCCACUGAAUCACUGAACUCUCAGAUAUUUUGGAAAGUGCUUCAACCGUACCGUACACGAUGCACCUCGCAAGACUGGAAAAGGGCCCCAGCUGUGGGCGGGAGGUACGGAUUAAGCCACGGGGUUCCAGCCAAAUUCCCUCCAUCCGCUGAUGACUGGAGGAGAGUGGGGACGUUGGCCGGGCCAGCCUGCAAUCUCGCUGUUUUCCAUUUGGGGGAGCUCUGGUGCCAUUAUGCGGUGCAGAGCGCAGGAGUCCGCUCUUUCUCAAGACACACUGUUGUGAACCUAACAGUGUAGAGUCACCGGGAACAAGGACAACAUUUCACAAAAGAGCGAUCAGAACACCACAGGAGGUUUUGCAUUCCGUUUGAACCCGAAACGGACUCUCCCGGACGUGGUCUGUGGAGUUUCUGCUUCGUCCAAACAUCCAUUACAACUGGCCAGUGAUGGACGGGCCCUUCAGUACUGAAUCAGAACCAGGUCAGUGAUGGACGGGCCCUUCAGUACUGAAUCAGAACCAGGUCAGUGAUGGACGGGCCCUUCAGUACUGAAUCAGAACCAGGCCAGUGAUGGACAGGCCCUUCAGUACUGAAUCAGAACCAGGCCAGUGAUGGACAUGCCCUUCAGUACUGUAUCAGGACCAGUUUCUGGUCCAGGCGAGAGCACCGAAUUCAGCUGCUGCCGGCCUAGCAAAAAAAGCCUGUCUGAGCCUCGUGCCUCGUUCUCAAAAGGGCUUUCUCAGAAACGGCAACACAUCUGAGCUGGAACAAACCAAGCGGCGGCUGUGAAAAGAGCACCCGCGUGGGAACACCUGCGCCCCAGGAGCUCGAAGCUCGAGGUUCGACGCUUGGCUUUAAUCCCCCCUCCGCGCGGGCUGACAGACGCAAACGCUUUCACGCCAUGCGAGACGCAUGCAGCUCCCGCGGUGAUCACGCUGGAGAGUGGCAGAUUGCACAACGUCUGACAUGUAAUCACAUCGCCCUCCCUUAUCACCCCCCCCCAUCCCCCUCAGGGCAUGCUACACGGCCCAUGCCCCAGCAUGCACUGCUCUCCGCUCUCACCCAGGGAGACGAGGCCCUCGUGGGCUGGGCUGAGGGAGCAGAACAGCACUCAGUCUUAUUAUCCUCCCUGGCCUCGUUGCUCCUGAUCCUGAGACAGACUCUUUCACCGCCAGCCUCCACUAUGACCGUGAGCAGCUGUGACAUAUGGAGAAAGCCUCCCAUGGAUUUGUACACUAUAUUACAACAUUAGAAUUUAUUUUCCAUGCUGAAGUCUGCAUAAAACAAUAAUAAUAAUAGUAAUUAUUAGUAUUGUUGUUAUUAUUAUUAUUAUUAUUAUUAUUAUUAUAUUUGUGAAAUCUAAAUGAAAAGCUUGGAACUGAGCACUGACCCAUGGGAGUGUUUGGCUGCAGUAAUCCCACAUACAAAUUUUUCUGCUCUAACUCUACUUCUCUCUUUUUCUGAGUCUGUCAUCCUCUUUUUCUUAUGCACUGAGAAACUGUACAUGAUGUGGCGUUCUCUCAAACCGGUCACACAGGCCAACUGGAAGAAAAAAUAAACAAGAGCGACAUGUAAGGACUCUCUGGAGGAAAGGCUUCAUCAUGUCUGAAACAUUCCAAUAAGACCUAAGAGAAAAUCAUGGUAGCUACUGAAGAAUGACAAAGACUUGGACCUCCUUGACUGUUCCAUAAACACAGGCUGGGGACGUGUGUCCUUCCAAGGCAUGUGAUUCACCUCCUUGUUCUGAGGUGAACUUUGGAAAGAUGUCACAAUUCCAGCUGUGGUUCCAACGCCACCGGCAGCACCCAUUGAACUUCAGGAAGAUUUGGCCACGCCGCCUACUUCCUGAUGAUUAUCGACAAGGAGAGUCCUUGGGUUCAUGUGGCGCAAUGUAACACAGUGUACUCCAGGACAAGUUGGCUCAGACAUGAAUCAAAUACGACAACUGUGCAAGCUCAGGGAACGCAAAGCCACGUCGAUGUCCUUCUAAUUCCAGGGCACCGGCUGCUUCGCCCUGGCCACGUCCUAAAAUCCCACAAUUCUAGCAAAGGCUAAACGCAGAUGUCCUUACAAGGAAGGCACUUAACUGGGGGAAGGGAAGGCCGGACCAUGUGGCGUGGAAUGACACAGCCCAGUAAGCUGAAGAUGAGGCCCGAGGCCUGUGAUUACGCAUCGAGCCUGUCAAAACAAAGGCUGGGUGACCUGGCUCAGUGAAGUUAAGUACUGAUCCUGGCCGUGGAUGUAGUCAGAAUCUGGUUCCUGGCACAAAGCAGUUUUAUAACAAGCUCUCUCCGAGGUCUCACGUGUCUGGAAAAUCUGGGACAGCGGACAACCUCUGCCCCCGUCGGAGAACACGCCCAGGCUGGCUGGGGCUUUGACGGCAGCCCCAGACCUGCCCCAUCCUGCAGCCGCCAGCCCUCACAAAGCAAACACGGCCUCCUGGCCCUCCCUCUCACCGCCCGGCGUGCUCACACUGUACAGUCCGCUGUGGAGUCAUACUGACCUGCUUUCUGCAUGCAUGGAGCCCUGAGCGUGGAGCAUAGACCUAUUACAGAGUCAGUGCUUCCUUAUUCUUUGAAUGCCUCUAUUUACACCAGUGCUUGUAAUUUAAUGCAGAACUUAUUACAACACAUUUGACCUAUUGAUAAAUGGGCUAUAUAAAUAAAUACUUUUUUUUUUUUUUU